This 314-nucleotide small nuclear RNA is filed under the name Nannospalax galili (Upper Galilee mountains blind mole rat). RNAcentral's name for it is "7SK RNA (ENSNGAG00000005807.1)". It matches the Rfam family "7SK RNA". Rfam says of the family: 7SK was discovered as an abundant small nuclear RNA in the mid-70s but a possible function has only recently been suggested. Two independent studies have found that 7SK RNA binds the CDK9/cyclin T complex (known as elongation factor P-TEFb). P-TEFb activates transcription by phosphorylating the C-terminal domain of RNA polymerase II. The record is from Rfam by way of RNAcentral. Lineage: Eukaryota; Metazoa; Chordata; Mammalia; Rodentia; Spalacidae.
GAAUGUGAGAUGCUGUCUGGCAGCAAUAUCUGUCACCCUAUUGAUCAGCAGGGUUACUUCUGCUGAUCUGGCUGGUUAAAUGGGUGUCCCCUCCUCUCUCACCUCACCAAGUGUGUCUCUCCCAAAGCUUUGCACUCAGUCCAAGAGGAUGAACUUCCCCAGCAGAGGGCAUCAAGGGUAUUGAGCAGCUGUGCUUCCCUGUUAGAACCUCCAAACAACCUCCCAAACUAGCAGAUGAUUAAUUGAUAAUAAGUUGCUAUCAUUUUCACUCAUUUAAAUCAUUCAUUUAGUAAAUACUAUUAGGCAAUGAUUUU